UGGGGAAUAUUGGACAAUGGGCGAAAGCCUGAUCCAGCCAUGCCGCGUGAGUGAUGAAGGCCCUAGGGUUGUAAAGCUCUUUCACCGGUGAAGAUAGUGACGGUAACCGGAGAAGAAGCCCCGGCUAACUUCGUGCCAGCAGCCGCGGUAAUACGAAGGGGGCUAGCGUUGUUCGGAAUUACUGGGCGUAAAGCGCACGUAGGCGGAUUGUUAAGUCGGGGGUGAAAUCCCGGGGCUCAACCCCGGAACUGCCUUCGAUACUGGCAAGCUAGAGUCCGGAAGAGGUGCGUGGAAUUCCGAGUGUAGAGGUGAAAUUCGUAGAUAUUCGGAGGAACACCAGUGGCGAAGGCGGCUCACUGGUCCGGUACUGACGCUGAGGUGCGAAAGCGUGGGGAGCAAACA
RNAcentral lists this ribosomal RNA (402 nucleotides) under uncultured bacterium. RNAcentral's name for it is "bacterial SSU rRNA". It matches the Rfam family "Bacterial small subunit ribosomal RNA", at positions 355 to 774 of the family's 1533-position model. The record is from RNAcentral.